RNAcentral lists this ribosomal RNA (253 nucleotides) under uncultured bacterium. Its description in RNAcentral is "partial 16S ribosomal RNA". It matches the Rfam family "Bacterial small subunit ribosomal RNA", at positions 524 to 776 of the family's 1533-position model. The record is from RNAcentral.
UACGGAGGAUGCAAGCGUUAUCCGGAAUGAUUGGGCGUAAAGGGUCCGCAGGUGGCAGUGUAAGUCUGCUGUCAAAGAAUGAGGCUUAACCUCAUCAAGGCAGUGGAAACUACACAGCUAGAGUACGGUCGGGGUAGAAGGAAUUCCUGGUGUAGCGGUGAAAUGCGUAGAGAUCAGGAAGAACACCGGUGGCGACAGCGUUCUGCUAGACCUGUACUGACACUGAGGGACGAAAGCUAGGGGAGCGAAUGGG